UACGUAGGUGGCAAGCGUUGUCCGGAAUUAUUGGGCGUAAAGCGCGCGCAGGCGGUCCUUUAAGUCUGAUGUGAAAGCCCACGGCUCAACCGUGGAGGGUCAUUGGAAACUGGGGGACUUGAGUGCAGGAGAGAAGAGUGGAAUUCCACGUGUAGCGGUGAAAUGCGUAGAUAUGCGGAGGAACACCGAUGGCGAAGGCAGCUUCCUGGCCCGUAUCUGACGCUGAUGCGCGAAAGCGUGGGGAGCAAACGGG
This 253-nucleotide ribosomal RNA is filed under the name uncultured bacterium. Its description in RNAcentral is "partial 16S ribosomal RNA". It matches the Rfam family "Bacterial small subunit ribosomal RNA", at positions 524 to 776 of the family's 1533-position model. The record is from RNAcentral.